RNAcentral lists this long non-coding RNA (220 nucleotides) under Malus domestica (apple). RNAcentral describes it as "long non-coding RNA (MDOM_LNC016543)". Lineage: Eukaryota; Viridiplantae; Streptophyta; Magnoliopsida; Rosales; Rosaceae. The record is from RNAcentral.
AGUGUGUGGCCGAUAGACAUUCAACUCGUUCCACAUGGUGGUUAACUUCCCAAGGUGCUGCACAAAUAAGUUUCCUUCCUGUUGUAGACCAGCAAUAUCCUUUUUUAAUUGGAACACUCGAGCUACAUUAUUUUGAUUCCCAAACAUUUCUUUGAGAUUUUUCCAAAUGAUGCAGGAGGAUUCAGCAUAGCUGAAAAUUUUUGCAAUCUUUCGAUCCAUA